AUAAGUUAUAUAACUCUGCCAUGUGAAGUGCUACUUCAUAAAUCCUAAUCAUUCUUAAGCUUAUUAUGCUGCAUUUGGUUUAAAUUCAUACCUAAUUUAGAUCCAUUCACUAUUGAAAGUCUUACAUUUAUCUUCCUUUUAAAUAAAUAAAAAAGGUAGAUAGAUCAUGCACUUUGGAUUCAUUGGUUAACUUUGCCUUGCCCUUCCAGUGAAAGACUUUCCAGGAAUUAAGAUUGCGGAGGAGUCGGAAUGGAAGAAUAGCAUUCAGGGCUCAACAGGGGUGGUUAACUUGGCUGGAAUAUCCAUAAGUACCAGAUGGUCUUCGGAGAUAAAAACAGAAAUCAAGCAGAGCAGGAUUAAAGUAACAUCAAAAGUAAGCAUAUGAUUCCUGAUGGUACAAAUUGAAAAUGAACCUUUUUAUAUGUAUAUUUUUCUUGACAAAUAUAUGUGCAUCAAGUUAAGCAAGUUUUACUUACAAGAAAUUGCUUAUUCUUCCUCUGACCUAUCCAUUUAAUAGCUUAAAAAUCUGGAUUCAGCAGAAGUAUGGAAGCAGUGUAGGAGUGCCUUUUCUAUAUAUUAGCACAGGUUAUUGUACAUUAGGGAGAUAAUAUUAAAAGUUUUAGGUUUGUGCAUCAAUUCUUGAGUUUACUUUACUAAAAGCACUAAACUUUAUUAUUUAUUAAUUAUAAACAGAGAUUAUUGAAGGAGGUUCACAUUAUUAUUAAACCAAUUAUCCCGAGAGACUCGUUAGCUAUUAGUCUGUUCUGGUGUUAUGUAAAAGUUUCUUUUGAAAGCAAAACAGUUCUGCUUCUGCAUUAUUACUAUGAAGUCUGUAGUAUUUUUAAAUUUAACUAAAUGAACUAAAUAGUAAAUAAUGCCUAUGCUUGUUAUUUGAUUUGUAGGAAGGCUGAGAGGGGUUAGUAUUUUAUGAUUGCUGUUAGCUUGCUACAUCAUUGUCUAGAAACAGAUUUGUGUUUUAAGUAUAUUUUCUCAUAUAUUGUAUUUUACUUCAGAAGAUAUAGUUGUGGUUUGGCAAAAAUCACGAGUGGUUAGAAAAUUGUUUUCCUGGAUUCAUUUGGAUGACAUUGUUAAUUUAAUAUAUGAAGCACUGAUAAAUCCCUCCUAUAAAGUGUGGCCAGCAUUUAGUAAAGAAUAAAGAAGGCAGAGGAUAAUGUUGAGGAUGAUAAUGAAGAUUAAGCUGAUUAUUAUUGUGGUUUAUUGGCUAUAAGAUAGAGUAGUGUUGAAAAUGGAUACAUGUAUGGUUGACUACUAAUGCCUUUUAUUAGAAGAUGCUUAUGUAGGAUAUGUUUCUCGUAGAGUAUUACUAGUAAAUUCUAAGUAGCAUCAUGGUUAUUUUGAUAUGGCUAUGCUUACUUUAGUGUGAGAUGUAUGAAUACUCACAAUUAACUUCAUUCUAGUACUUUUGGAUCA
Molecule: non-coding RNA, 1431 nt
Organism: Arachis ipaensis
Lineage: Eukaryota; Viridiplantae; Streptophyta; Magnoliopsida; Fabales; Fabaceae
Source: RefSeq, a predicted model, not a curated record